CCUACGGGAGGCAGCAGUGGGGAAUAUUGCACAAUGGGGGAAACCCUGAUGCAGCGACGCCGCGUGAGUGAAGAAGUAAUUCGUUAUGUAAAGCUCUAUCAGCAGGGAAGAAAAUGACGGUACCUGAGUCAGAAGCACCGGCUAACUACGUGCCAGCAGCCGCGGUAAUACGUAGGGGGCAAGCGUUAUCCGGAUUUACUGGGUGUAAAGGGAGCGUAGACGGCAGUGCAAGUCUGGAGUGAAAGGCGGGGGCUCAACCCCCGGACUGCUCUGGAAACUGUACGGCUGGAGUGCAGGAGAGGUAAGUGGAAUUCCUAGUGUAGCGGUGAAAUGCGUAGAGAUUAGGAGGAACACCAGUGGCGAAGGCGGCUUACUGGACUGUAACUGACGUUGAGGCUCGAAAGCGUGGGGAGCAAACAGGAUUAGAUACCCUUGUAGUC
RNAcentral lists this ribosomal RNA (440 nucleotides) under uncultured bacterium. Its description in RNAcentral is "partial 16S ribosomal RNA". It matches the Rfam family "Bacterial small subunit ribosomal RNA", at positions 338 to 795 of the family's 1533-position model. The record is from RNAcentral.